AGUUUCUCCAUGGCACUCAGCAUGCCAGAGGGACUGCAGGAGAUGGUGACUUGAGUGGCAUCCUUGUGCUACUCAAUGGAAAAAGAAGAGAGUGAUUCUAUGAUUUAGUCUGCCACCUCCUUUUACUGAGAUAGCCUGCUCUGCCCUCCUGCUCCAUCCAAAUUCUCAAGGCUGUUCUGAGUUCUGAACACAUACUACGGUGUGUUUCUUAAGACAAAAAAGAAAAGAACUUCGGUGAUUAAUGCAAAGGAAGGACAGCAACACAUAUAACCCGAAGAACAGCUGACUAAGAAGAUUCUGCCACAGGAUCAUUUACAAGUGCAAGUAUCAAUGAGGAGCCAAAGAGAACAUUCAACUGACUAAACCAGAUAAUGGGAAUUACGUCUCCCACCACAGAAAUUAGAAGCAAGCAGCAGAAAUAUUCUGUGUUGAAAGGUAUGUCUGAUGGAGGUAAUCAGAAAGUAUAUCUCAGAGUGACGUUUCUUAAAAUCAGACAAACUGAAACAAGUUGCUCUCUCCCUGCAUGUUACGCUAGCAGCUACC
Molecule: long non-coding RNA, 543 nt
Filed under: Gallus gallus (chicken)
Lineage: Eukaryota; Metazoa; Chordata; Aves; Galliformes; Phasianidae
Description: long non-coding RNA NONGGAT005851
Source: RNAcentral